This 460-nucleotide ribosomal RNA is filed under the name uncultured bacterium. RNAcentral describes it as "partial 16S ribosomal RNA". It matches the Rfam family "Bacterial small subunit ribosomal RNA", at positions 338 to 795 of the family's 1533-position model. The record is from RNAcentral.
CCUACGGGAGGCAGCAGUGAGGAAUAUUGGUCAAUGGACGAGAGUCUGAACCAGCCAAGUAGCGUGAAGGAUGACUGCCCUAUGGGUUGUAAACUUCUUUUAUAUGGGAAUAAAACAGGGUAUGCAUACCCUCUUGUAUGUACCAUAUGAAUAAGGAUCGGCUAACUCCGUGCCAGCAGCCGCGGUAAUACGGAGGAUCCGAGCGUUAUCCGGAUUUAUUGGGUUUAAAGGGAGCGUAGGUGGAUUGUUAAGUCAGUUGUGAAAGUUUGCGGCUCAACCGUAAAAUUGCAGUUGAAACUGGCAGUCUUGAGUACAGUAGAGGUGGGCGGAAUUCGUGGUGUAGCGGUGAAAUGCGUAGAUAUCACGAAGAACUCCGAUUGCGAAGGCAGCUCACUGGACUGCAACUGACACUGAUGCUCGAAAGUGUGGGUAGCAAACAGGAUUAGAUACCCCAGUAGUC